ACCUCCACAUGGUAGUAGUCUUCAACACUUUAAAUAAAUGUAAACAUUGAUGGAUCUUCAGACCCUUAUUGUGUGUUACAACAGCGGUGAACAAGUGCAAUCUUUGGAGUGUAGUUAGAAAAUUUGAGAGAGACAUCAUCAGUGGUGGGAGACCAAGGGAGACGCUGGAAUUUGCCGAUCUGUUAAUAAGGACAAGACGGUGCCUAGUGCCUCGGUGGUUCCCUCUGCUCUAAGGGUCAGUAAGCGCUUUGGAGCCGUACAGGGAACACCCCUAUUUCUCCUUUGACCCUAACACGUUUUGACCGAAUUAUAUUCUCCGUGUCCACGUGCUGGGUCUCCUUAUCCUGUCAUCGCAUGAUUUUUUUCCUUAAGGGCGAUUACGGUAACUAUCAUUGUUUAGUCUGCCCACCACGCAUGUGCAUUAGGUUGCUGUAUCAAUAGACAUUUAUGUUUCACAUAUGGCUGCUGUACCUAUAUCCUGUGCCUAAUUUAAAACUUCCAGAAAGAUUAUACUUUAUGAUAUUAACAAAAUUAUAAUAAAUAAGUCAAAAUUACUUUAUCAAAAACAAUGAAAAGGGUAAAACUAUUAAUUAGAAGUAUUAAAAAUCACAAUACAGUACAGUAUAGCAUAUUCUGAUCUUAUACAGUAUUGCAGAUUAGUAAACACGGAAGUUUAUUAGUUCAACAUAUCCAAAAUUCAUAAGGAUUUUUUGGAGAAUGAAGUGCUGUACAUUUGACACUAAUAACCUAUGGUCAUCAUUCAUAAGCUAAAUUGCUGUUCUCUGUAAUAAUAAGACAGUGAAUACAGUACAGUAUUUUGCAUGAACUUCUUUGUUUGCAUUAGAGUUUAAUAGAAUAACCAAACCUAAUACCGUACAGCAACUAUAUACAGUAUAGAUUAUAUUUCAGUUAAGUUUGUUUGGAUAGGUUUGGUUUAGUUGGUUAAUUUUGCAUUUAAAAGAAGUUUUGGUUAAAUAUAGCAACAGGUCUGUUUUGAUAGCAUGUAGGACCAUAUUUACAGUAAGGUACUGGUGCAUAUUUCCAUAGCAGCCCCAAAAAAUCUUUGUUUUACCCUUCUUUGGAAAGGGGAGAACUCCAAUUGAGUGCCUUUAUGUAGGACACUACUGCGCAUGUCAUUGUGGAGUUGUGUCUCUGAUAAAUUAUAGGGGGCAGCCAAAACAACCGAGUGUCCACUAAGGACCUCCAUGUUGACUGAAUCAAUAAAGGCCAUGUACACUGUACAGGUCACAGAGCUAUUCUCUACACUUCUUGUGUAUCUGGUAGACAGUAAAGAAAAUGUCAGUGGUGCUGCAAGAUAGUCUAAAGGAAAUUUUCUGGCUCGGGAAGGCAUCUGUUAAGGGGAACUUGGCCGAGAAUCUUGCGGGCUAUGGACAACAGAGAUCUCACAAUGAUUGCUGCAAACUUUCCCCCUUGUUCAUAUGUACAGUACUGUACAUUUUCUAGGUCUUUGAGGGAUAUCCUUCAGUUCUCAUAUACAGUAUAUAUUCAAUGGGAAAGUGGAAGCAGCUGACAGAUAUUAGUGGCUACCACACAAGAUGGAGGGUUGUUGGGUGGACCAGCGCUGGAUGCUGUAGGAUCUACUCGGUAAUCUGGACAGAUAUUUCGUUCUUUCAUUUAAUCUGGCAGUGCUCUCACCAGUCCUGAAGAAUGCUAUUUUGUUCUUCAAUUUGGGUGUUACUGUCAGGUGAGUGAAGGGGGCUAUGUCAUUAAUAGUUGGUAAUGAAAAUUAACUACAGUAUAUAACUUAUAACAUGUAGAGAAUUAUGCAUACAUUUACCAAAUACCAGAGAUUAAAUUCGUAUUUUAUGACACUGAACAUUUAUCACUAACUCAUGUAAUUAUAGGUUGACCUCAUUUGUACUGUAUCGGGUUGUGACCCACAGAAAAGGGUAAAUUUAUAGUAGUUCACAUAACUCUGUUAGAAAGUUAAAACUAUGUUUUUCUAGUGAUUUUUUUUUUUUUUGAUUGGUUCUGACCUUGAUUUCUGUCGGAAAUUUAUUUAUUUUUUAUUGCUCCUUUUACCCCCAACAAGAUAGGGGAUCCUGUUAGGAACCGGAGUUUUGGGCGGGGUAGAGAAACAAUCAUUUUCCGUCAAAAAUCAUGGCCAAGUCAGUACAAAACGCACCAAAAAACACAAGAAAAACAUAUAAACCUAACCUUUUUAUAGAUGACCUAACCUAACCUGACCAAACCUAACUCACAGUGUUUUUACAUAACCAGACUCUCACCAUAUGAGGGAAGAUUAAUGGAAUAAGAUAGAGAAAGAUUUGGCAUGCGCUAUCUCCGUUAUUAUACGUUUCCGACAGUAUUGUAAUCGAAGAAAAUUAUCCUAAAGUUUUUUCAAAUAUGAUAAUAGAUUUGGGGUAGGAAUGUUGUGUGAACUACUAUAAAAACCCCAGAAAAGGCUGGUACAGUACAUGUAUAAGAGAAAUAAUGGUACACUAUACGUAGAAACAAAAAUAGGUUUCCUUAAUGAAGUCUCUUUUGAUUAUGACUCUGUACUACAGUAUAUUGUUUUCAUACAUAUACUGUUAGUAAUUUAAUUAUUAAGUACUGUUAUAGUAUUGAAAAACAAAAAACAGUACAGUAUUAAGCAUUAUACUCUACUCACCAAUACAUUCUCUUAUUUUUUGUAUGAGAAAAAGUCUGGCAUGGAGGAUUUUGUGCGUACUCUUGAACAGAGGGUUGUAGGGCCCUCAGUGGUAUCAAGCCACUGCAUGAAUGAUUACCUCAGAUAGAAUUAGUAUAAUUAUUGUUACCCCUCCCUGACCCAUUGUUUCAAAGAAGUAAGUGACGUUAGAUUGCCUGACUUGAACGUUGGGAUACAUGCCAUUGUGGUGCACAGGGUGACCUAGAAUGUUAUUAGGGAUGACAAACCAGUCUUCUAAAAGUUAUUCUCUUAUUUAUGCUUUAAUAUUUGCUCCCCAGACAAGAGGUAAGGUAUAGUGGCUACUGGCUAAGACACACAGUCUAGGAAUGGUACACAAGUAAUGGCUGGUGUUCUGGAGGCAUUUUUACAGUACAGUACAUGGCUCCAGAGAUCUGGUUUUCCUGUGAUGCAUUGCAUGUGCAGAAGAUGGAAAGCAUGAUGUGCAGUGGUGUACAGGUGAAUCUUAGCCCAAGGAUAAAUGAAAUUUUGGUACAUACGUGUAUGUGAAUAAUUAGUGUAAAUUUGCCGAGAGAAUGAUAGUUGUGGUUAGUAAUGUGUAUACAGGUAGUAAUAUACAGUACUGCACAGUACUGUACUAUCAUAACUUGAUAGAUGAAUCAUACGCAAUAAAAGUUUAAAAAAAUCAUCUGCGUGUAUUACAGUGCUGAAUUAAAUGACAGUUAUAUUUAACGUACUGUAUGUGUAUAACACAAUAACCCUUAUGAGAAUUUUGGGGUAAGGAUAAACAAAUAUACAUGCGGUUACUUUAAAACCUUUUAAUUUUUGCUCAUCAGUUAAACAAAGAACACCAUACCAAAUAUUUAUCCAAUAGUAAACGAAUCAAAGGAAGUACGUAUAUGUGAGUUUGUACUUCAACUGGACCAAAUAUUAUGAUUUUUAUUAACAACGUCACCAAGUUUCAUGCUUUAUUAUGUUACAGUUGCGGAAAUGUGUUCCUACAUCUCCUGGAAUAACUCUCGUCUCCAAAUGGCAACAUUGCAAUAGUACGGGUAGUACUGCAUCACUAUUUAUGAAUGAAUAGAUAUUAGUUGUGGAUAGAUUUGCUGUAGGUUACCACAGGGGGUGUAGGAACACAUUUCCAUAACUGUACAAGUUUUUUAUUUGCAUAGCAAUGUAUACAGAGUGUGUACAGUAUGUUGUACUAAUGUGGUUUAGAAAUCAUCCUGUGUUUUUUUUAGAAUUUCAAGAGUUUGGAAAUACAGGCACAAUUUUAAAUUUGUUCAAAUCACUAUUGUAAGGAUGUGUACAGUACUGUAGUAUACAGUAAAAACAGAUGCAAUAUUUAAUCCAAAUAUUUUGAAUACAUUUUGGAAAAAAAUUGAAUUUACUAUAUUUGCUAUGCAGGUACAGGUAUUAAAUUGACAUAGCAGUACCCAUACCAUUUUUGACAGCAGAUAGACAUGAACUGAGCAAACUUUGUAAGGUUAUUUAGUACAAUUGUACAGGUUUUUCUCCCUAACUCAUUAAAACUAUUGUAUAGUUUGACUAAUCCAAACAAGUGCAUUUGGUACACUUGUCAUAAACAGUCAAUGGACAUCAGACAUGAAUUAAAAUGUGUUGCAGUUGA
This is a long non-coding RNA of Homarus americanus (American lobster), 4259 nucleotides long. RefSeq lists it as uncharacterized. The transcript has 3 exons. Lineage: Eukaryota; Metazoa; Arthropoda; Malacostraca; Decapoda; Nephropidae. The record is from RefSeq and is a predicted model, not a curated record.